RNAcentral lists this ribosomal RNA (500 nucleotides) under uncultured bacterium. RNAcentral describes it as "partial 16S ribosomal RNA". It matches the Rfam family "Bacterial small subunit ribosomal RNA", at positions 30 to 523 of the family's 1533-position model. The record is from RNAcentral.
AUUGAACGCUGGCGGCAUGCCUUACACAUGCAAGUCGAACGGCAGCACGGGAGCAAUCCUGGUGGCGAGUGGCGAACGGGUGAGUAAUAUAUCGGAACGUGCCCAGUCGUGGGGGAUAACGCAGCGAAAGCUGUGCUAAUACCGCAUACGAUCUACGGAUGAAAGCGGGGGAUCGCAAGACCUCGCGCGAUUGGAGCGGCCGAUAUCAGAUUAGCUAGUUGGUGAGGUAAAGGCUCACCAAGGCGACGAUCUGUAGCUGGUCUGAGAGGACGAGCAGCCACACUGGAACUGGGACACGGUCCAGACUCCUACGGGAGGCAGCAGUGGGGAAUUUUGGACAAUGGGCGCAAGCCUGAUCCAGCAAUGCCGCGUGCAGGAUGAAGGCCUUCGGGUUGUAAACUGCUUUUGUACGGAACGAAACGGUGAACUCUAAUACAGUUUGCUAAUGACGGUACCGUAAGAAUAAGCACCGGCUAACUACGUGCCAGCCGCCGCAGUAA